Molecule: long non-coding RNA, 243 nt
Filed under: Homo sapiens (human)
Lineage: Eukaryota; Metazoa; Chordata; Mammalia; Primates; Hominidae
Description: HSALNT0334889
Source: RNAcentral
UUCAACUUAAAACAAGUUUUACUGUGGAUGAAAUGCUAUUAAACAGCAGCGCUAUAAGAUAAAUCUUUUGUGAAAGCAAGAGUCAACUGAUGCAUUAGGAAACCAAAAACUAGCAGGACCUGUACUCUGGAAGCAUCUGACUGGAAUGAAGAAUGAGGAGAGAAAGCAAAGAUCAGUUGUUGACAGAUUUACUGAACCAUAAAGAAAGGAAAAGAAGAAAACUGGCUCAUUGUUACAAAUCAC